AGAAACAAGAAGUAGAGAAAUGGCUAUGGCUAUUGCUUCUUUCCGCAUUGUAUUUCGUCACAUGUUACACGCCAACAACACCUAUAACUGCUUCUUCACUCUCCCACCCCGACCCACGUGUUUUCUUAUAAAUCGUCGCGCCACGUGGCGGCAGUGUCUUAUUUCUUCUCGUGCAAGUUCAACUAAUAACUACAGUUACAAAGUUGUUGUGAAGAAAGACGAGCGAGUUGAGAAUGAAAACACUGAUGUUGUAAACUCGACAACAAUUGCAGCCAUUGUAACAUCGUUAGGUGGUCCCCCUGCUGCCGUCGGAAUCGUUCGCCUUUCGGGUCCUAGCGCGGUGUCUAUUGCGUGUCGGGUAUUUCGACCCGCGAAGAACAUGUGGCAGCCUACUAGUCAUGUUGUUGAAUACGGCGUCGUAUUGGAUUCCGAUGGAAAUGUCAUCGAUGAGGUUAGUAUGUUGUGUUUGUUUGGGUUUUUCGGUGAUUGAAUAUUUUUGAAAUUCAUGGUUCUGUUUAUGUUGUUAGGUUUUGGCGGUUCCCAUGCUUGCACCGAGAUCGUAUACUCGUGAAGAUGUGGUUGAACUUCAAUGUCAUGGGAAUGAAGUGUGUUUGCGUCGUGUGCUUAGAACUUGUUUGGAAGCUGGAGCAACACUUGCAUAAAAUUUGAAAAAAGUUUUUUGAAUAAACAUUAAAUUUUUUAAAAUAUAUUUAUAUAUUGAAUUUUUUUUAUAAAUUUUUCAAUAAACACAAACUUUAAAUUUUUUAAAAUAUAUUUGUAUAUAUUUAUGUACUGGAAAACUUUAAAAAAAAUUUUAAUACUUUUUAAGUACAUAAACUUUAAAUUUUUUGAAACAUAUUUGUUUCAAAAAAGAUUUAUUUUUUUUUUUAAAUUUCAAAUUGAAUUAAGUUGAAUAGAAAUUUUUUCAUUUUUUUUAAAAGAAAAACAUAAUAGGUAGUUUGUAUAAAUACGAAGGAGAUAAAACUGUCUUGAGUUUGUACGUUUAGCCGAAUGGGCCUUUUGGCCCAAAAAGUCAAAUGGGCCUAUCGGGCCAGAAUUGUUGAGGUUGGGUGAAGAAUGAAGAUGAUGGAUAGGUAGACGAAACAAGAGGAACAGAUAGCAGAAACAAGAAGUAGAGAAAUGGCUAUGGCUAUUGCUUCUUUCCGCAUUGUAUUUCGUCACAUGUUACACGCCAACAACACCUAUAACUGCUUCUUCACUCUCCCACCCCGACCCACGUGUUUUCUUAUAAAUCGUCGCGCCACGUGGCGGCAGUGUCUUAUUUCUUCUCGUGCAAGUUCAACUAAUAACUACAGUUACAAAGUUGUUGUGAAGAAAGACGAGCGAGU
Molecule: long non-coding RNA, 1349 nt
Filed under: Cicer arietinum (chickpea)
Lineage: Eukaryota; Viridiplantae; Streptophyta; Magnoliopsida; Fabales; Fabaceae
Description: long non-coding RNA (CARI_LNC001528)
Source: RNAcentral